GUUUGAUCAUGGCUCAGGAUGAAUGCUGGCGGCGUGGAUAAGGCAUGCAAGUCAAGGGGGCCCGCAAGGGCAACCGGCAGACGAGGUAGUAACACGUAGGUACUCCCCUCGAAGUCUGGUAUAGCUCGUCGAAAGACGGGGUAAUUCCGGAUGGUCUCAAGAGAGUAAAGAUUUUUCGCUUCGAGAGAGGCCUGCGCAAUAUCAGCUUGUUGGUGAGGUAACGGCUCACCAAGGCUACGACGUUUAGGGGAGCUGAGAGGCUGACCCCCACCGAUGGGACUGAGACACGGCCCAUACUCCUACGGGAGGCUGCAGUCAAGAAACUUCCGCAAUGGGCGAAAGCCUGACGGAGCGACGCCGCGUGAUGGACGGAGUACUUCGGUACGUAAACAUCUUUUAUGAGGGACGAAAUUUUUGACGGUACCUCAUGAAUAAGGGGCUCCUAACUCUGUGCCAGCAGGAGCGGUAAUACAGAGGCCCCAAGCAUUAUCCGGAAUCACUGGGCGUAAAGGGUGUCGAGGCGGUUGUAUUAGUCGUUUGUAAAAUCCGUGAGCUCAACUUACGGUUCGCAAGCGAAACGGUACAACUAGAGGUUGGGAGAGGUGCGUGGAACUCACGGUGUAGGGGUGAAAUCCGUUGAUAUCGUGGGGAACACCAAAGGCGAAGGCAGCGCACUGGCCCAAAUCUGACGCUCACACACGAAAGCUAGGGUAGCGAACGGGAUUAGAUAUCCCGGUAGUCCUAGCCCUAAACGUUGCUCGCUCGUUCUGCGGAGUAUCGACCCUCUGCGGGACUAAGCUAACGCGGUAAGCGAGCCGCCUGGGUAGUACGAGCGCAAGCUUAAAACUCAAAUGAAUUGACGG
This 863-nucleotide ribosomal RNA is filed under the name uncultured bacterium. RNAcentral describes it as "bacterial SSU rRNA". It matches the Rfam family "Bacterial small subunit ribosomal RNA", at positions 11 to 916 of the family's 1533-position model. The record is from RNAcentral.